GAUGAACGCUGGCGGCGUGCUUAACACAUGCAAGUCGAACGAUGAACCCCGCUUGCGGGGGGAUUAGUGGCGAACGGGUGAGUAACACGUGAGUAACCUGCCCUUAACUUUGGGAUAAGCCUUGGAAACGAGGUUUAAUACUGGAUAUUGACUUUACCUCGCAUGGGGUUUGGUUGAAAGAUUUAUUGGUUUUGGAUGGACUCGCGGCCUAUCAGCUUGUUGGUGAGGUAAUGGCUCACCAAGGCGACGACGGGUAGCCGGCCUGAGAGGGUGACCGGCCACACUGGGACUGAGACACGGCCCAGACUCCUACGGGAGGCAGCAGUGGGGAAUAUUGCACAAUGGGGGAAAGCCUGAUGCAGCGACGCCGCGUGAGGGAUGACGGCCUUCGGGUUGUAAACCUCUUUCAGUAGGGAACAAGGCCAGCAUUUUUGUUGGUUGAGGGUACUUGCAGAAGAAGCGCCGGCUAAAUACGUG
Molecule: ribosomal RNA, 477 nt
Filed under: uncultured bacterium
Lineage: Bacteria
Description: bacterial SSU rRNA
Rfam family: Bacterial small subunit ribosomal RNA
Source: RNAcentral